RNAcentral lists this ribosomal RNA (1520 nucleotides) under uncultured bacterium. Its description in RNAcentral is "partial 16S ribosomal RNA". It matches the Rfam family "Bacterial small subunit ribosomal RNA". The record is from RNAcentral.
AGAGUUUGAUCCUGGCUCAGAGUGAACGCUGGCGGCAGGCCUAACACAUGCAAGUCGAACGGCAGCGGGUCAGUAGCAAUACUGAUGCCGGCGAGUGGCGGACGGGUGAGGAAUACAUCGGAAUCUACCUUGUCGUGGGGGAUGACGUAGGGAAACUUACGCUAAUACCGCAUACGAACUACGGUUGAAAGCGGCGGACUCGCAAGAGCGUCGCGCGAUUGGAUGAGCCGAUGUCCGAUUAGCUAGUUGGCGGGGUAAAGGCCCACCAAGGCGACGAUCGGGUAGCUGGUCUGAGAGGAUGAUCAGCCACCACUGGGAACUGAAACCACGGUCCAGACUUCCUACGGGGAGGCAGGCAGUGGGGAAUAAUUGGGACAAAUGGGGCGGCAGCCCUGGAUUCCAGCCCAUGGCGCGUGUGUUGAAAAAAAGGCCUUCGGGUUGUAAAACACUUUUUGUUGGGGGAAAAAAAAAAACCGGUUAAUAACCCCGGGUUUCUGACGGUACCCCAAGAAUAAGCACCCGGGUAAUUUUCUGGCCAGCAGCCGCCGGUAAUACGAAGGGUGCAAGCGUUACUCCGAAUUACUGGGCGUAAAGCGUGGGGUGGUGGUGAGUUAAGUCUGUCGUGAAAAACCGGGCUCCAACUGGGAAUGGCGAUGGAUAUAGGCUCGCUCUAGAUCGCGUGUAAGAGGAGAGGUGGAAUUCUCCGCGUUGCAGUGAAUUAUAGUGCAGAGAUUCGGAGGACAUCCUACGUUGUGAAUGAGGAUCUCGCCACUGGACUUGAGCGAGACGCUGGGACCAGCAGAAUAGAUCCUUGUACUCCACGCUCUAACGUGAAAUGCACGUGGGACAAUCGGUUCUAGUUGAAGCUAACGCGUUUAUUCCCCCUGGGGAUUACGUCGCAAGAUUAAACUUAAAAGAUUGGAGGGGGCCCGCACAGGCGGGGGAGUAUGUGGUUUAUUUGGAUGAAACGCGCAGAACCUUACCUGGCUUUGACAUCCAGGGAUUCUUUAAGAGAUCAGGGAGUCCCUUUCGGGACCCGUGAGCCAGUUGCUCCAUGGCUUUCUUAAGCUCGGUUCGGGAGAUGUUGGGUUAAGUCCCGCAACGAGCCCAACCCUUUUCUUAAGUUGCCCGCCGCGUAAUGGGCGGGGAAUUUUAGGGAGAUUGCCCGGUGACAAACCCGGAGGAAGGGUGGGGGAUGACGUCAAGUCAUCAUGGCCCUUACGGCCCAGGGCUACACACGUACUACAAUGGUGGGGACAGAGGGUCGCCAAGGCGCGAGCCGGAGCCAAUCCCAGAAACCCCAUCCUAGUCCGGAUCGCAGUCUGCAACUCGACUGCGUGAAGUCGGAAUCGCUAGUAAUCGCGGAUCAGCAUUGCCGCGGUGAAUACGUUCCCGGGCCUUGUACACACCGCCCGUCACACCAUGGGAGUUUGUUGCACCAGAAGCAGGUAGCUUAACCGCAAGGGGAGCGCUUGCCACGGUGUGGCCGAUGACUGGGGUGAAGUCGUAACAAGGUAACC